Molecule: long non-coding RNA, 976 nt
Organism: Halichondria panicea
Lineage: Eukaryota; Metazoa; Porifera; Demospongiae; Suberitida; Halichondriidae
Exons: 2
Source: RefSeq, a predicted model, not a curated record
UGGGAUCCAUUAUUUAAAGCCAGAGCAAAUGAAAGCAAUGUAUUCAAUCAUUGGAGGAAAGGACACAUUUGUGUCACUGCCAACCGGCUAUGGAAAGUCAGUAAUCUUUGCUGCAUUACCUAUGGCCUUUGACCAAUUGAAAGGAACAUCUGGAAGCAUUGUACUUUGUAUUAGUCCUCUCACUUCGCUGAUGAUGGAUCAACAAAAAAAGUAUGCAGCUGGAGGAUUGACAGUGGAAUACGUUGGAGAAGCUCAGACAGACCGUAGUGCUAUUAACAGAGUACUGAAAGGAGAAGCUCAGUUGGUGUUCAUCUCCCCAGAGAGCAUAUUAGCGAAGGGUAUUUUUCGAAAUAUGCUUCUGUCACCACCGUAUAUAAAGAAUCUCGUUGCAGUAGUAGUUGAUGAAGCCCAUUGUGUUAAAACCUGGGGAGAUGAUUUUCGAGUCGCGAGAUUGGAGAUUUAAGGAGCCUCAUUCCAGACAAUGUCGGUGUUCACGCACUUACUGCUACCUCUACAACAGAAACAUUUUACAUUGUCAGUAGAAGGUUAUGUAUAGACGAUCCUACUUUAAUUGCCUCCCCUCCUUUCCGAGACAAUAUUUCUUAUGGUUCUUAUUUUAAUGGUUGCUGCUGACACGUACACCGGUGGAAUGGUUGCUGCUGACACUGGUGGAAUGGUUGGUACUGAAACAGAUAAUGGAAUGGGUGGUGUGGGGGGUUCCUGCAUAACUCUACUUCUUUUUGGCGGUGGUGGUUAAGUUAUCUUCUGCAUGUCUUGAAAGCAGACCAUUUAUUAGCUCUGUUGCUUCCUUCUUUACCUUGCAUAGCUUUUCUUGUUGAGCAUGGACAUUCUUCAGUUGUUUCUCGCACUGGUGACACAAUAUACUGUCACUAGCACUAGUUUCAGGGAUGCAAUGCAGAGGUACUGGAAGGAGCUGCACAAGUACUUCUCUUGCUUCAGAACAGCUAUGACCAUU